This 2922-nucleotide ribosomal RNA is filed under the name Staphylococcus argenteus. Its description in RNAcentral is "23S ribosomal RNA". It matches the Rfam family "Bacterial large subunit ribosomal RNA". Lineage: Bacteria; Bacillati; Bacillota; Bacilli; Caryophanales; Staphylococcaceae. The record is from RNAcentral.
GAUUAAGUUAUUAAGGGCGCACGGUGGAUGCCUUGGCACUAGAAGCCGAUGAAGGACGUUACUAACGACGAUAUGCUUUGGGGAGCUGUAAGUAAGCUUUGAUCCAGAGAUUUCCGAAUGGGGAAACCCAACAUGAGUUAUGUCAUGUUAUCGAUAUGUGAAUACAUAGCAUAUCAGAAGGCACACCCGGAGAACUGAAACAUCUUAGUACCCGGAGGAAGAGAAAGAAAAUUCGAUUCCCUUAGUAGCGGCGAGCGAAACGGGAAGAGCCCAAACCAACAAGCUUGCUUGUUGGGGUUGUAGGACACUCUAUACGGAGUUACAAAGGACGACAUUAGACGAAUCAUCUGGAAAGAUGAAUCAAAGAAGGUAAUAAUCCUGUAGUCGAAAAUGUUGUCUCUCUUGAGUGGAUCCUGAGUACGACGGAACACGUGAAAUUCCGUCGGAAUCUGGGAGGACCAUCUCCUAAGGCUAAAUACUCUCUAGUGACCGAUAGUGAACCAGUACCGUGAGGGAAAGGUGAAAAGCACCCCGGAAGGGGAGUGAAAUAGAACCUGAAACCGUGUGCUUACAAGUAGUCAGAGCCCGUUAAUGGGUGAUGGCGUGCCUUUUGUAGAAUGAACCGGCGAGUUACGAUUUGAUGCAAGGUUAAGCAGUAAAUGUGGAGCCGUAGCGAAAGCGAGUCUGAAUAGGGCGUUUAGUAUUUGGUCGUAGACCCGAAACCAGGUGAUCUACCCUUGGUCAGGUUGAAGUUCAGGUAACACUGAAUGGAGGACCGAACCGACUUACGUUGAAAAGUGAGCGGAUGAACUGAGGGUAGCGGAGAAAUUCCAAUCGAACCUGGAGAUAGCUGGUUCUCUCGAAAUAGCUUUAGGGCUAGCCUCAAGUGAUGAUUAUUGGAGGUAGAGCACUGUUUGGACGAGGGGCCCCUCUCGGGUUACCGAAUUCAGACAAACUCCGAAUGCCAAUUAAUUUAACUUGGGAGUCAGAACAUGGGUGAUAAGGUCCGUGUUCGAAAGGGAAACAGCCCAGACCACCAGCUAAGGUCCCAAAAUAUAUGUUAAGUGGAAAAGGAUGUGGCGUUGCCCAGACAACUAGGAUGUUGGCUUAGAAGCAGCCAUCAUUUAAAGAGUGCGUAAUAGCUCACUAGUCGAGUGACACUGCGCCGAAAAUGUACCGGGGCUAAACAUAUUACCGAAGCUGUGGAUUGUCCUUUGGACAAUGGUAGGAGAGCGUUCUAAGGGCGUUGAAGCAUGAUCGUAAGGACAUGUGGAGCGCUUAGAAGUGAGAAUGCCGGUGUGAGUAGCGAAAGACGGGUGAGAAUCCCGUCCACCGAUUGACUAAGGUUUCCAGAGGAAGGCUCGUCCGCUCUGGGUUAGUCGGGUCCUAAGCUGAGGCCGACAGGCGUAGGCGAUGGAUAACAGGUUGAUAUUCCUGUACCACCUAUAAUCGUUUUAAUCGAUGGGGGGACGCAGUAGGAUAGGCGAAGCGUGCGAUUGGAUUGCACGUCUAAGCAGUAAGGCUGAGUAUUAGGCAAAUCCGGUACUCAUUAAGGCUGAGCUGUGAUGGGGAGAAGACAUUGUGUCUUCGAGUCGUUGAUUUCACACUGCCGAGAAAAGCCUCUAGAUAGAAAAUAGGUGCCCGUACCGCAAACCGACACAGGUAGUCAAGAUGAGAAUUCUAAGGUGAGCGAGCGAACUCUCGUUAAGGAACUCGGCAAAAUGACCCCGUAACUUCGGGAGAAGGGGUGCUCUUUAGGGUUAACGCCCAGAAGAGCCGCAGUGAAUAGGCCCAAGCGACUGUUUAUCAAAAACACAGGUCUCUGCUAAACCGUAAGGUGAUGUAUAGGGGCUGACGCCUGCCCGGUGCUGGAAGGUUAAGAGGAGUGGUUAGCUUCUGCGAAGCUACGAAUCGAAGCCCCAGUAAACGGCGGCCGUAACUAUAACGGUCCUAAGGUAGCGAAAUUCCUUGUCGGGUAAGUUCCGACCCGCACGAAAGGCGUAACGAUUUGGGCACUGUCUCAACGAGAGACUCGGUGAAAUCAUAGUACCUGUGAAGAUGCAGGUUACCCGCGACAGGACGGAAAGACCCCGUGGAGCUUUACUGUAGCCUGAUAUUGAAAUUCGGCACAGCUUGUACAGGAUAGGUAGGAGCCUUUGAAACGUGAGCGCUAGCUUACGUGGAGGCGCUGGUGGGAUACUACCCUAGCUGUGUUGGCUUUCUAACCCGCACCACUUAUCGUGGUGGGAGACAGUGUCAGGCGGGCAGUUUGACUGGGGCGGUCGCCUCCUAAAAGGUAACGGAGGCGCUCAAAGGUUCCCUCAGAAUGGUUGGAAAUCAUUCAUAGAGUGUAAAGGCAUAAGGGAGCUUGACUGCGAGACCUACAAGUCGAGCAGGGUCGAAAGACGGACUUAGUGAUCCGGUGGUUCCGCAUGGAAGGGCCAUCGCUCAACGGAUAAAAGCUACCCCGGGGAUAACAGGCUUAUCUCCCCCAAGAGUUCACAUCGACGGGGAGGUUUGGCACCUCGAUGUCGGCUCAUCGCAUCCUGGGGCUGUAGUCGGUCCCAAGGGUUGGGCUGUUCGCCCAUUAAAGCGGUACGCGAGCUGGGUUCAGAACGUCGUGAGACAGUUCGGUCCCUAUCCGUCGUGGGCGUAGGAAAUUUGAGAGGAGCUGUCCUUAGUACGAGAGGACCGGGAUGGACAUACCUCUGGUGUACCAGUUGUCGUGCCAACGGCAUAGCUGGGUAGCUAUGUGUGGACGGGAUAAGUGCUGAAAGCAUCUAAGCAUGAAGCCCCCCUCAAGAUGAGAUUUCCCAACUUCGGUUAUAAGAUCCCUCAAAGAUGAUGAGGUUAAUAGGUUCGAGGUGGAAGCAUGGUGACAUGUGGAGCUGACGAAUACUAAUCGAUCGAAGACUUAAUCAA